RNAcentral lists this ribosomal RNA (426 nucleotides) under Anaplasma platys. RNAcentral describes it as "bacterial SSU rRNA". It matches the Rfam family "Bacterial small subunit ribosomal RNA", at positions 29 to 482 of the family's 1533-position model. The record is from RNAcentral. Lineage: Bacteria; Pseudomonadati; Pseudomonadota; Alphaproteobacteria; Rickettsiales; Anaplasmataceae.
AACGAACGCUGGCGGCAAGCUUAACACAUGCAAGUCGAACGGAUUUUUAUCAUAGCUUGCUAUGAUAAAAAUUAGUGGCAGACGGGUGAGUAAUGCAUAGGAAUCUACCUAGUAGUAUGGGAUAGCCACUAGAAAUGGUGGGUAAUACUGUAUAAUCCCUGCGGGGGAAAGAUUUAUCGCUAUUAGAUGAGCCUAUGUUAGAUUAGCUAGUUGGUAGGGUAAAGGCCUACCAAGGCAGUGAUCUAUAGCUGGUCUGAGAGGAUGAUCAGCCACACUGGAACUGAGAUACGGUCCAGACUCCUACGGGAGGCAGCAGUGGGGAAUAUUGGACAAUGGGCGCAAGCCUGAUCCAGCUAUGCCGCGUGAGUGAGGAAGGCCUUAGGGUUGUAAAACUCUUUCAGUGGGGAAGAUAAUGACGGUACCCAC